CCUACGGGAGGCUGCAGUGGGGAAUUUUGCGCAAUGCUCGUAAGAGUGACGCAGCGACGCCGCGUGAAUUCCGCCUGCCUUCUUGUCUUAACGUUCUUUCGACAGUGAAGAAAAUGCCUAUAAGUAACUGUGUAUGUAUUGACGGUACCUGUAUAAGCAGCCCCGGCUAACUCCGUGCCAGCCGCCGCGGUAAUACGGAGGGGGCGAGCGUUGUUCGGAGUGACUGGGCGUAAAGAGCACGUAGGCGGUGUUGUAAGUCAUUAGUCAAAGACUAGAGCUCAACUUUAGUAAGGCUAGUGAUACUAUAAUACUAGAGUAUCAGAGAGGAUUGCAGAAGUCCUGGUGUAGCGGUGAAAUGCGUAGAUAUCAGGAGGAAUACCGUUAGCGAAGGCGGCAAUCUGGCUGGAAACUGACGCUGAGGUGCGAAAGCGUGGGUAGCAAACAGGAUUAGAUACCCCUGUAGUC
Molecule: ribosomal RNA, 465 nt
Filed under: uncultured bacterium
Lineage: Bacteria
Description: partial 16S ribosomal RNA
Rfam family: Bacterial small subunit ribosomal RNA
Source: RNAcentral